UUUAAUUCUCACCGCCCCCUUCUUUCCAAAAUACUGUACUUGUAAUCUCAAAUCAUGAUGUUAGCUAUUCUCUAACUUAUGCCAUCUAUUGGUGCAAAAAGACAUUACGUCAACCACGACCACAUUUACAUCCAAUCACAACAAUCAGUUGAGUAUCGGUAUAUACAGUUUCGUCUGCUUCUAGGGGUCCAAUUGUCAACUUGCAAUAACCUAGACUGAUUUCAGUCACCGUCUGUAACUCGUUUCAUACUGUCUACAAAUAACUUUAUUUAAAUCCUCACAAAGGAGUAGCUAAAAUCAGUGGUGUCUGGUGUGUAUUCAUUGCUAAUGAUGCAACAGUCAAAGGAGGGACAGCCUACCCAAUCACCGUGAAGAAGCAGCUGAGAGCCCAGGACAUUGCAAUUCAAAAUGGGCUGCCUUGCAUUUACUUGCUGGAUGCUUUCUAUGAGGCACUUUUAUCUUAUUUGGUUACCAUGAACAUGAAGGCUAUGAUUCUGGCUAUGGAAACUGCAGCCUCAACUAAUAAUUCUCUUCUUCAAUGGACAACUCCAACAAUGCCGAUGUUAGUAAAACGGUUUUCAAGCAUCUGAAGUGUUGGACUGAAUUCUACCUAAAGAUUAUUGAGCAACGCUUUGAGCAAUGGAAUAAUGACUGAAAUCGUCCAUAUUACAUGU
Long non-coding RNA from Stegostoma tigrinum, 674 nucleotides. RefSeq lists it as uncharacterized. The transcript is spliced from 4 exons. The record is from RefSeq and is a predicted model, not a curated record. NCBI's taxonomy places the organism in Eukaryota, Metazoa, Chordata, Chondrichthyes, Orectolobiformes, Stegostomatidae.